CGCGUAGGCGGCAUGGCAAGUCAGGUGUGAAAGCCCCGGGCUUAACUCGGGAACUGCAUCUGAAACUGCUUUGCUUGAGUCCUGGAGGGGGUAGUGGAAUUCCCAGUGUAGCGGUGAAAUGCGUAGAUAUUGGGAGGAACACCGGUGGCGAAGGCGGCUACCUGGACAGUGACUGACGCUGAGGCGCGAAAGCUAGGGGAGCGAACG
This 207-nucleotide ribosomal RNA is filed under the name uncultured bacterium. RNAcentral describes it as "partial 16S ribosomal RNA". It matches the Rfam family "Bacterial small subunit ribosomal RNA", at positions 568 to 774 of the family's 1533-position model. The record is from RNAcentral.